GACGAACGCUGGCGGCGUGCUUAACACAUGCAAGUCGAGCGGUAAGGCCCCUUCGGGGUACGACGAGCGGCGAACGGGUGAGUAACACGUGGGUGACCUGCCCUCAGCUCUGGGAGUAAGCCUGGGAAACGUAGGGUCGUAAUACCGGAUAUGACUCCAUGACGCAUGUCGUGGGGUGGAAAGCCUUGUGCGGCUGGGGAUGGGCCCGCGGCCUAUCAGCUUGUUGGUGGGGUGAUGGCCUACCAAGGCGACGACGGGUAGCCGGCCUGAGAGGGCGACCGGCCACACUGGGACUGAGACACGGCCCAGACUCCUACGGGAGGCAGCAGUGGGGAAUCUUGCGCAAUGGGCGAAAGCCUGACGCAGCGACGCCGCGUGAGGGAUGACGGCC
RNAcentral lists this ribosomal RNA (391 nucleotides) under uncultured bacterium. RNAcentral's name for it is "bacterial SSU rRNA". It matches the Rfam family "Bacterial small subunit ribosomal RNA", at positions 28 to 416 of the family's 1533-position model. The record is from RNAcentral.